RNAcentral lists this ribosomal RNA (497 nucleotides) under uncultured bacterium. RNAcentral's name for it is "partial 16S ribosomal RNA". It matches the Rfam family "Bacterial small subunit ribosomal RNA", at positions 28 to 507 of the family's 1533-position model. The record is from RNAcentral.
GAUGAACGCUGGCGGCGUGCCUAAUACAUGCAAGUCGAGCGAACAGACGAGGAGCUUGCUCCUCUGACGUUAGCGGCGGACGGGUGAGUAACACGUGGAUAACCUACCUAUAAGACUGGGAUAACUUCGGGAAACCGGAGCUAAUACCGGAUAAUAUAUUGAACCGCAUGGUUCAAUAGUGAAAGACGGUUUUGCUGUCACUUAUAGAUGGAUCCGCGCCGCAUUAGCUAGUUGGUAAGGUAACGGCUUACCAAGGCAACGAUGCGUAGCCGACCUGAGAGUGGGCGCGGCCACAUGGGCACUGAGACGGGGUCCGGCCUCCAGGGGGAGGCAGCGGGGGGAAAUUUUCGGAAGGGGGCGAAGGUUGGCGGGGGCAGCCCCGGGGGGGUAAGAAGGGUUUUGGGAUCAAAAAACUGUGUUAUGGGGAAAAAAAAAAUUUGAAAUAAACUAGGCCCGUUUUGAGGGUCCCUAACAAGAAGCCCCCGGCAAACUCCGUG